GGGGCUGAUUCUGGAUUCGACGGGAUUUGCGAAACCCAAGGUGCAUGCCGAGGGGCGGUUGGCCUCGUAAAAAGCCGCAAAAAAAUAGUCGCAAACGACGAAACCUACGCUUUAGCAGCUUAAUAACCUGCUUAGAGCCCUCUCUCCCUAGCCUCCGCUCUUAGGACGGGGAUCAAGAGAGGUCAAACCCAAAAGAGAUCGCGUGGAUGCCCUGCCUGGGGUUGAAGCGUUAAAACGAAUCAGGCUAGUCUGGUAGUGGCGUGUCCGUCCGCAGGUGCCAGGCGAAUGUAAAGACUGACUAAGCAUGUAGUACCGAGGAUGUAGGAAUUUCGGACGCG
This 338-nucleotide transfer-messenger RNA is filed under the name Salmonella enterica. RNAcentral describes it as "partial transfer-messenger RNA". It matches the Rfam family "transfer-messenger RNA". Rfam says of the family: Bacterial tmRNA, also known as 10Sa RNA or SsrA, is named for its dual tRNA and mRNA-like properties. Its role is to liberate the mRNA from a stalled ribosome. RNAcentral also lists the same sequence under 1 other name. Lineage: Bacteria; Pseudomonadati; Pseudomonadota; Gammaproteobacteria; Enterobacterales; Enterobacteriaceae. The record is from RNAcentral.